Molecule: ribosomal RNA, 149 nt
Filed under: uncultured bacterium
Lineage: Bacteria
Description: partial 16S ribosomal RNA
Rfam family: Bacterial small subunit ribosomal RNA
Source: RNAcentral
CUGAUGCAGCCAUGCCGCGUGUAUGAAGAAGGCCUUCGGGUUGUAAAGUACUUUCGCGGGGAGGAAGGUGCUGAGGUUAAUAACCUCAGCAAUUGACGUUACCCGCAGAAGAAGCACCGGCUAACUCCGUGCCAGCAGCCGCGGUAAUA